CCUACGGGGGGCAGCAGUGAGGAAUAUUGGUCAAUGGGCGCGAGCCUGAACCAGCCAAGUAGCGUGAAGGAUGACUGCCCUACGGGUUGUAAACUUCUUUUAUAUGGGAAUAAAGUGCAGUAUGUAUACUGGUUUGAAUGUACCUUAUGAAUAAGGAUCGGCUAACUCCGUGCCAGCAGCCGCGGUAAUACGGAGGAUCCGAGCGUUAUCAGGAUUUAUUGGGUUUAAAGGGAGCGUAGGCGGUUUGUUAAGUUAGUUGUGAAAUUUUGCGGCUCAACCCUGAAAUUGCAGCUGAUACUGUCAUCCGAGAGAACAGUAGAGGUAGGCGGAAUGCGUGGUGUAGCGGUGAAAUGCUUAGAGAUCACGCAGAACCCCGAUUGCGAAGGCAGCCUACUGGACUAUAACUGACGCUGAUGCUCGAAAGUGUGGGUAUCAAACAGGAUUAGAUACCCUUGUAGUC
RNAcentral lists this ribosomal RNA (460 nucleotides) under uncultured bacterium. RNAcentral describes it as "partial 16S ribosomal RNA". It matches the Rfam family "Bacterial small subunit ribosomal RNA", at positions 338 to 795 of the family's 1533-position model. The record is from RNAcentral.